GCUCCAGUGGCCUAGUGGUUAGAGCGUCCGCCUCAGAUGCAGGAGGUCAGGGGUUCGAUCCACGGUCGAGUCA
Molecule: non-coding RNA, 73 nt
Organism: Potamilus streckersoni
Lineage: Eukaryota; Metazoa; Mollusca; Bivalvia; Unionida; Unionidae
Source: the annotation of a GenBank genome assembly